Molecule: long non-coding RNA, 262 nt
Filed under: Parus major (Great Tit)
Lineage: Eukaryota; Metazoa; Chordata; Aves; Passeriformes; Paridae
Description: lncRNA (ENSPMJG00000003317.1)
Source: RNAcentral
CAAACCUCAGCUGCUUGGCAGCAUGACAGCAGCGGUGAGGGCCAUCAGGCUGCUCAGUCUUUCCCUGAGAGUCCAGCUCAGCAAAUUAGACCUGUCCUGCACUGACUUGAUAAACCUGAUGUGCUUCUGGACAAAGUUACCUCUCAUCUGUGAGCAAGUGAUUUGCUUAUUUCUCCCACAGGGCUAUCAGCUCCUCUCUGCUGGAGAUGGGGAAGGAGAUUGGGAGCUGUGGGAACAGAUCCAGGGGACAGAAGCCCACAGA